This 457-nucleotide ribosomal RNA is filed under the name uncultured Mycobacterium sp. RNAcentral's name for it is "bacterial SSU rRNA". It matches the Rfam family "Bacterial small subunit ribosomal RNA", at positions 114 to 585 of the family's 1533-position model. The record is from RNAcentral. Lineage: Bacteria; Bacillati; Actinomycetota; Actinomycetes; Mycobacteriales; Mycobacteriaceae.
CACGUGGGUGAUCUGCCCUGCACUUUGGGAUAAGCCUGGGAAACUGGGUCUAAUACCGGAUAGGACUACGCGAUGCAUGUCGUGUGGUGGAAAGCUUUUGCGGUGUGGGAUGGGCCCGCGGCCUAUCAGCUUGUUGGUGGGGUGAUGGCCUACCAAGGCGACGACGGGUAGCCGGCCUGAGAGGGUGUCCGGCCACACUGGGACUGAGAUACGGCCCAGACUCCUACGGGAGGCAGCAGUGGGGAAUAUUGCACAAUGGGCGCAAGCCUGAUGCAGCGACGCCGCGUGAGGGAUGACGGCCUUCGGGUUGUAAACCUCUUUCACUAGGGACGAAGCGCAAGUGACGGUACCUACAGAAGAAGCACCGGCCAACUACGUGCCAGCAGCCGCGGUAAUACGUAGGGUGCGAGCGUUGUCCGGAAUUACUGGGCGUAAAGAGCUCGUAGGUGGUUUGUCG